GGUCGACUCAUGUUUAGUUGGGGUCGGCUCCAUUGGGGUCGGCUCAAGGAAUCUUGGGGUCGGCCCUCUCAGUGAAUUCCAAAGAGUUGUUUUCUUGAGGCUUCAAACUGGGGUCGGCUUAAGGUUCUUUGGGGUCGGCUCCUCACCUGGGGUCGGCUCAAAGAUACAUGUGGUCGGCUCCACUUACUGUUCAUCUGUGUCAUUUUUGCAGGGGUGUGCCAGAUGGUUCCAUGGUGUGCCAGGGUCGACUCCACUUAGCUUGGGGUCGACUCAAUCCACACUUUCCUGCAUCUUAAGGUUAGACUAAUUCAUAUAAUCAAUGAAACAUAUUUCAAGCAAUUUUGAGUGUAUGCCACUGUCACGCCCCCGGCCCGAGAUCGCGAGCCGGGGGUUGCGCCAACCGCCGCACACCCGUAGGAAACUCUCCCCACGAGCAUGCAAGGCAUCUAAACCAAAACACCUCAAUUAUGUAAUUCUAAAUUAUUCAACUGAAAUAAAUGCAAUCUUAUUCCAUUGACUAACUCAAGUCAUAAGGUCUCACAAGUCUAAAUACGCAGCGGAACAAUAAAGAUAAAACAUCAAUUUAAACAAAGCCUAAUCUAGGAUAACUUGUGCUUCCAUUCUUCUAGUCGCUCUCCCAUUUUAAAUCCCUGAUAGGUUAGUUCUCGGAAUCUGUAAAACAACAAGAAAUUGUAUAAUGAGCUAGACAGCCCAGUAAGUAAUAAACACCUUAACUAGUCAAUUCAUAUAAUAACAUAAAAUAUAAAUACAAAUUACGAUGACUCAACAUAAUAACAUAAUCAAUUCCUUUUCAAGCACAAAUUCAUUAAAAUCCAUAUCUUUCAAAUAUCCAUAUACAUAAUCAUAAAUCUGAUUCGAAACAAAUCACAUUCAUCUCAUCAGCCUUUAGCUACGACCACACUUAUACCCUGUGGCUAGGCCAGAAACAGAACCGCACUUAUACCCUGCGGAGUGGGCCAGAAUACCGCACUUAUACCCUGCGGAGUGGGCCAGAAUACCACACUUAUACCCCGUGGUGGGGCCAGAAUUGCCAAUGCAUAACCCCCUCUUGGCAGGGUCCAGAACAUAGCCAGGCUGAGAGUUCUAAAUCUGAUGUACAUCAAAAUUCUUUUGUAACAUAAUACAUGUAUCAUAAUCCGAUCUAAAUAUGCAUAUACGAUGCAAGAACAGUAAAUAUAGCAAUAAUCCGAAAAAUAUUAUUCCAGUUCACAUAUCCAUUUUUCAUUCAAAUCAUCAUCUCGUAAAAUUCAUAAAUCAAAUAUAAAUUCAUUAACAAUUUAUUCAAUGCAAAAAUAAUAUUAUAUAAAUGAAGAGUCUAGAGAAGGCAGUUCGUUACUUACAUUGAACGCGAUCCACAGUAAAUCCAAUUAAUCUCACAAAUUUCUCGCAGAACCUAAUAUCCAAAAAUCAUAUUUUUCUUUUAAAUUUCAUCACAAUAUAUAUUUAUAAAACUUAAAUUUUAACAUUCUCCCAGGGCCGAUCCUGCAGAAGUGUCUAGCGCCCCGGGUUCGGGUUCGGGUUCGGUUUCGGGUUCAUACCCGUAAACCACCCUCUCCCUUUAUUUAUUUAUUUAUUUUUUUUCUUUUCUUUUUCUUGCUUUUCUUUUCUUUUAUUUUCUUUUUCUUUUCUUUUUCUUUUCUUUUCUUUCCUUCCCUUCCAUUUUCUUUUUCUUUUCUCCUUCUCCCGAAGCUUCCUCUGACUUCUUUUCCUCCUUCCCCCCUUUCUUUCUUCUUUCUUUUUCUUUCUCCUCCUCUUCUCCCGACUUCUUCUCCUUCCCCCCCUUUCUCUCUUCUUCUUUCUUCUCCCACGAAGGGAGGUCGGCGAGCUCGGGAGACGUCCGCUGGCUCUCUCCUUCUUCCCAUGGAGGAGAAAGAGAGCUCAAGAGAGGAAGAGCCUGCGGCGGGGACCCGCAGCAUCGGCGGUGCUCGCGGCCGCACACGGGUAAGUCUCAUCUUCCCUCUCUUCUUCUUUCUUUCUUUCUUUCUUUCUUUCUUUUUUUUUUCAAAUGGUUUAAUAGAGAAAUGAAAUUAGGAACCUUACCUCUGCCUCGGCGAAGAUCCGGCGGCUUCCUCCCUCUUCGGCGGCUCUUUCCUCUCCGGCGGCAAUGGAACCACCCGGAUCAAAGAAGACCGGCUUCAAUGG
Molecule: long non-coding RNA, 2163 nt
Filed under: Phoenix dactylifera (date palm)
Lineage: Eukaryota; Viridiplantae; Streptophyta; Magnoliopsida; Arecales; Arecaceae
Description: long non-coding RNA (PDAC_LNC011928)
Source: RNAcentral